Pelobates cultripes (western spadefoot toad) is the source of this 384-nucleotide non-coding RNA. The record is from the annotation of a GenBank genome assembly. NCBI's taxonomy places the organism in Eukaryota, Metazoa, Chordata, Amphibia, Anura, Pelobatidae.
CGUACAUGUUUUUCACGUCAAGGAGUACUGGGGCAUGGUCGGACCAUGUGAUUUGCUUUAUUUCACAGGUGUGGAUUUGGUGUUGCCCUGAGAUGAGGAACCCAUCUAUCCGAGAGUAGGAGUUGUGGACAUGUGAGAAAUGAGUGAACGUUUUGUCCCCCGGGUGUGUGGUUCUCCAUGCGUCAUAGAAAUGGUGUUCGUGUAUGGGUUUCUGCAGGGCUUUGCAUUGUCUGUUCAGGGGGCGUUGUCGACGCCAGUGUUGCGAUAGUGUGGUGUCCAAUUUGGGAUCUAUGAUAUGGUUGAAAUCUCCACAGAUUAUCGUGAUUCCCUGUUGCAUAGCGUUUGGUUUUUUAAAGAAUGCUCUGUAGGAAAUUUCGUUGGUUC